Labrus bergylta (ballan wrasse) is the source of this 5154-nucleotide long non-coding RNA. RefSeq lists it as uncharacterized. Lineage: Eukaryota; Metazoa; Chordata; Actinopteri; Labriformes; Labridae. The record is from RefSeq and is a predicted model, not a curated record.
CUUUCAGGUGGAGGUACGAAUCCUUUCAGCGACUCAAAUGAUUUAUUGGAGUCUGUGAGGAAACUUGCCCAGUGUUUUACAGCAGUAAACACUAACCUGCUACUUUUCAGUACUCAACAAUUAAUAUGACAGGCAUUAUGACGUAGCAGAGUUAAAGUCGAUGGGGGGUGUUGAAAGAAGAAGUACAUUCGGUCCUUUUUUUUUUUUUUUUUCUUUCAACAUCACAUAUUUUUUGAGUACAAUCCACUUUUCAGAGUGACAGAGAUAAGCCUGCAUGUAAUAAAACCAGUAUCAGGUGCAGCGUCACUUUAAGGGGAGCGCACGGCGGCUGGACGAGUAGAUAAUGCAGGACCGCUCAUUGUAGUUUUUCAUAACGUCACCCACCUAUUAACUCUGCCACCGCGCUGAACGGCCAGGUAUGACUCGUCGAGUUGCUGUUUAAGAAGGAAGGACUCAUCUGAAUAAACAACAAAACAAAGUGUUUUGCCUCUCGUGUUGCGUAUGUUUUCUGCACGCAAGCUCGUUAAACAGAAAACAAAUGAUGGGCGUAACGUCACACACUGUAGGAGGAAGUCAACUGAGAGACCAAAAGAGGAAGAUGUCAGAAGUUGUUUAAAGAGAAAUAAACCGUGUCUGGCUCUGUUACAUGUUCUGUUGGUGUAAGAGGCGGUUUUUCACUUCUAUUUUGUCAAAGAUAAACUCCCGCAGGCUUGUGCGGGACACAUGGCUCUCCUACGCACCUGCCUUGUGAAGUGGACGUGCGAAAGUUGUUUCCAUUUUGAACCUCUAUUUUCUCAAAAGCAUUUAUUUUUAAAUUAGUAUCAUGUUAGGUGGCAGUAUCAGAUGCCUUGUUUACAUUUGUAUUCAACAAUUGUCUGCAAGCUUUAUAAUGCUACAUUGCUCAAUGACGUUUAUAUACCCUAAAAUCUAAAUGUUAUUAAGCCUAUGUGUAUAUAGAGGUUAUAAUUUAUCUUUAAACCUUAUUUGUUCUAUUUGACAUUGCAUGUUCCUAAAAUAGAACAUUUUCAUCAAAAUAUUAAGAAAGCCAUAUGUAGGCUAUAGAAUGAUAGGCCUUUUAAUUAUUUGAUUUUAAUUCAUAUUACACAUUUUAUUUUAUUUUAAAAAGUUUUACUAGGCCCAUAAAAUAAAAUAAAAUACACACUAAAAUAGAAUAUCUUUGAUAGAUGAAACAGUAGAAAUGAAUCACCAAAUAACACCAGUUGCUGUCAAAUCUGAAACAUAGGUCUCGUAUGUUCUUUAUGUUUCAGACGGUUAACCCAGCUUUGGGCCUGUUACUAUGAAUAGAAGACUCUUACACUUCAUUAAGAUGAAGCGUGUUCUUGCUGCAAAGUUACAUUCAGUCUCCAAUAUGUGAUCAUAAAUACAAACAUCUUAGCUAGUUUAUAUUGGGUUAUGAAAUAUGACAACCUUUGGUUUUAGAUUAAAGGAUUAUUUUUCUGUUUGUAGUAGUUUCACGACUAGUUAGCAGCACUUUUCUUUUUUAAAUACUCAUCCAUCUCAGCCCCCAAAUGGGAAAAACUGGUUAAUAGUUCAUUUUUAAACUGUAAAAGUAGCAUUAAGCAUAAACAUCAAUGAACUAAAUCAGUGUUCUUCUUUGGGUUGCCAACAUUAGUCACCAAUAGUGAAGGUCAAGAAAAACGAGAUGCUGAAUGUACGGAAUUAGAUCGAAGUUUUUAUUUUGAAAGAAAAACAUCGGGUUCAUUCGGGUCACAUAGUGGAUUACACAGGUUUGAAACGUUGCUUCUGAGCGACAUGUUGCACAACCUGAAUAACCUGAGGUGAUGAAGACUAUUACAGUUUGUGAGGGGCCUCUUUCACACAGUGCUGCAGUUAAAUGCAUUAACUAUUGCUGAAAACUAAUCAGUAGCAACUUAAUGAACAAGUUUGCUCUUGUGACUGAUCUUGACAUUUUUGACUCUGGUAAUAGUUCAAGGAUUGUUUCUGAAAUCUAACUAAAAAAGAUAAUUGGUCCAUUUUUUUAAUCUUUUGUUUCUUUUUCUUUUCCUGCCUGAUGAUAAAACUUGUGCUAAAUUUGCAGCAUACUUAACAAAUGCUCAAAAGAUCAAAAAUAGGUCUUUAAUGGUCUUACAAAAUGCCUUUUAGAAAUCAAUAAAGCAAUAUUGUUUUAUUCAGUGUUGCUCCAUUUAAACAAGAUAUGACAAAAUGUUCAGUUUCAUGUUUAAACAGCGGGUUAUGAAUUUAAUUAAAUACAAUAAAAUGAUACAUUAAACAAUGUUGAGCUCAUAAUAUGUGUAUGUGUGUUACAUUUUGCCCUUUCUUUCAUCAUAUAACUAUAAUAAUACUGCAAUUCUUGUGUUUUUUCCAAUGCUUCUUCAGCACAUGAACAUGCUUAUGAACUCAUACUGAAAUAAAGUGCUUCAGUCCAAAGCACAGACAACAAAGUAAAAAGGAAAAGGCAUUACUUAUUUUCAUCAUCAUCUACAUUCUUUGUGCAAUCACUCAUUCCCUUGUUGCAUAAAAGAGUCCCCAUCGUUGGUCUCCACUGUUGGAACGUCCCAGUUUUUCACUCCAUCCGUUUACUAUUGCAAGAUAGUCCUCUUCAGAGAAUUCCUGCAGUGGUUUGAUGAAGGUAAAAUAAGCAUCCAUAUACAUGUAGUAAUGAGAGUAGGAUGCUCAUUAUGGAUGCAGAGUGUAAGUUAAGUUGACCUUGUGAAUUUGACACAUUUUCUUUUUGUAAACAUGUGAGUGUGUGUUCCUACCUCAAUGAAUUCCUCCUUAAUGGCCUCUGAUCUCUGCAGCUCUGUCUUUAUCACCUGGAUGAACUGGGCUGUUCGGUCUUCUGCCCUAACAUUGCUGAAACCGGCUUCUUCAAUGAACUACAGGAAAAGACAAAGAAAAAGGAGGUAGUAGAAAGAGCACCACCUGUUGAUGCAUGGGGACAAUUUAACAGCCUGAAGAGCAUCUAGCUAACACACCAUUGCCUUGACAGUCAGAAGAGGGGCAGUUUUUGAAAAACGUAAAAUUAAUUAACUUGUCAGUUCUCUCUGGAGGGGAAACUAUGUGAUAGGGACACUAUGUAAUAACCACCAUAAAUGCCAAUCCUUGCAUUUCUUCAAUUGGGAAACACUGUGGCUCAGUGGAUUUAUUGCCACAUAAUUAAAAACAUUUUGGGAUAACCAAAACUUAAAUGAAUGGAUAUCAGUCAGUUCAUAUAUUUGGUGUUUACUGUUUAACCUAUGCUCCAGUGGAGCAGAAACUCAGUAACAGUUUGUACAGUAUGCUGCUCACCCUCUUGUUACAUAUUGGUUAAGAGGACCAAAGAGCAGAACUCCCCAUAGGGUAGGGUAGUCUUCCACAGACUAUUACAUAACUGAACUCUAUUGUAUAUUUACCUUGCCAUACUGUGCGGGAGUAUAGAGGAUGUAGCCUCUCUGUUUGACGUAGGCCUCAAACACAGGUGUCCAGGGCUUUUCACCGCAGCAGUAGUCGCUGAUAAGCAACUUUCCGCCUGGCUUUAACCAUGACUGCACACAGUGAACAAGCAGAAUGAAAGAAUAUGUUAGUAAACCUUUAAAAUUCAAUGUGAUGACACAAAUGAUUUAAGUAUGAGAAACUGCUCACAUGGAAGCGUUUGAAGAGUGCCAGUUUGUCAUCUAUGUGCAGGAUUGUGUCUCUACUGUAGAUCACAUCAAAAGAACCUUCUGCAAACACCCUCUUAGUGGCGUCAGCCACCUCAAACUGGACCUGAGGAAUAUCACACAGCAUUAUUGAUUCAUUUAUACCAAACAGACUGUUAAUCACACUUCUAUAAGUGGUGUUUAAACAAAGAGGACAGGGAAGCAUUUGGACGUACUGAAGGCAGCUUUUCUGCAAUUGCUCGCUCCAUGGCAAUUUCCACCAUGUUGUCUGAAAGGUCCAGGCCAAGCACUUCCACGCCAAAGGUCUGAAAGAAUCAUAAUCAUUGCCGUUAUUAAAGUCCUUUUCGAAGGAUAGAUUUUCAGCAUCAUCAUUAUUGGAAACUCUGCCUGAUUCCUCGUCUCUUACUUUUGCCAUGUAGAAGUCUCCUCCACCAAUACCACAGCCAACAUCAAGGACCUUCUGUCCGGGCUUCAGGUUCAGCAUGUCCACAAACUCCUGUUAGCACAAAAAGCUAUUUGUUUAGUCCAAUCAAUGCCUCCAAAGAUAACCCUAUAUAGCUCUGUUUUUUCCAUGAGUGGAGAAAAUUCCAUUCCGAGUAGGUUACUGUUAAAUUAGCUUACCUAAUGUUUUUUUUAACAAUGAAUUUUGGGGCUUUUUGUGCCUUUAUUGUAGGGACAUGACAGUGGACAGAGUUGGAAAUCAGGGACAGAGGGAGUGAGGAAUGACAUGCGAGAAAGGAACCACAAGUCGGAUUCCAACCCAGGCCAUCCAGUUGGAGGAUUAUAGCCUCCAUACAUGGACCUUACGGUUUAGUUAUAGAUUUCACCACUCGAUGUCACUGCUGUUUUUCCAUACUAGCGGUAGCUUAAGGAUGUAGCUGUAAUCACCUUAUCAUGAUUCUUUGUCACAUUUUACAUACAUUUUUAUUUUAUUUUUUACUUUUAUUAGGGAAUCCCUUUUGGAUUCCACAAAUUAAAUGAUAAUGAUAGUCAGAUUCCCUGUGUUUAUAAUAACGACAACCGAAGAGGUCAGCAUUCAAACAAUGACGGAUGAAGGAAGACGGGUGAAAGAGUGUGUGAAGAUAAAGCUGCUUGGAUCAAGGUCAGUUCUGUUCUAUGUUCUGUUCAUAAAUAUUACAUUUGAAAAUAAUAAUAGUAGUAAUAAUAAUAACGUUAACAUGCUGAUGUUGAGCAGGAUUAAUGUUAAGAACACUUCUGCUUAUUUUAAAUAAACGUGCAAUGCAGAUUAUGCAGAUGAGAAUGUCAUUCAUUAAAUCAUUGGAGAGAAUCUUAAGAACGUUAAAAGCAAGGAUUACCAAAGUAAUUACAAUACAUUUUUUGGAUGGCUGAAAUGUGUGACAAAAAAAUCCUGGCAACCCACGAAACGGUCACUUCAAACAACAAACGUCACUCUCAUAUUGGGACUGGAGCAAAAAACUGCCAAGGAUUUCUUUUGGUGUUUUCCAUAUUCAAACCUACCUUGGUGGUACUGGGUCCACCUGUGCUGACAUAACCAGCUCCAAACAUCUUCUCG